UACGGCCAUAUCACAAUAAAAUACCGGUUCCCAUACAAUCACGGAAGUUGAGUAACUUCGAGGCUGGUCUGUACAUUGAUGGGUGGCCGCUUGGGAAUAGCAUGUUCUGUAA
Acanthosepion pharaonis is the source of this 112-nucleotide non-coding RNA. The record is from the annotation of a GenBank genome assembly. Lineage: Eukaryota; Metazoa; Mollusca; Cephalopoda; Sepiida; Sepiidae.